GGAAAGGCGAAAAGAACCCCGGGAGGGGAGUGAAAUAGAUCCUGAAACCGCAUGCAUACAAACAGUCGGAGCCUCGCAAGGGGUGACGGCGUACCUUUUGUAUAAUGGGUCAGCGACUUACAUUCAGUGGCAAGCUUAACCGAUUAGGGCAGGCGUAGCGAAAGCGAGUCCGAACAGGGCGUUCAGUCGCUGGGUGUAGACCCGAAACCAGGUGAUCUAUCCAUGGCCAGGAUGAAGGUGCGGUAACACGUACUGGAGGUCCGAACCCACUAACGUUGAAAAGUUAGGGGAUGAGCUGUGGAUAGGGGUGAAAGGCUAAACAAACCUGGAAAUAGCUGGUUCUCUCCGAAAACUAUUUAGGUAGUGCCUCGUGUAUCACCUUCGGGGGUAGAGCACUGUCAUGGUUGUGGGGUCCAUUGCGGAUUACUACGCCAUAGCAAACUCCGAAUACCGAAGAGUGCAAUCACGGGAGACAGACAUCGGGUGCUAACGUCCGGUGUCAAGAGGGAAACAACCCAGACCGCCAGCUAAGGUCCCAAAGAUUGGCUAAGUGGGAAACGAAGUGGGAAGGCUAAAACAGUCAGGAGGUUGGCUUAGAAGCAGCCAUCCUUUAAAGAAAGCGUAAUAGCUCACUGAUCGAGUCGUCCUGCGCGGAAGAUGUAACGGGGCUAAGCAAUAUACCGAAGCUGCGGAUGCACAUUUAUGUGCAUGGUAGGAGAGCGUUCCGUAAGCCUGCGAAGGUGCAUUGAAAAGUGCGCUGGAGGUAUCGGAAGUGCGAAUGCUGACAUGAGUAGCGAUAAAGGGGGUGAAAGGCCCCCUCGCCGUAAGCCCAAGGUUUCCUACGCAACGUUCAUCGGCGUAGGGUGAGUCGGCCCCUAAGGCGAGGCAGAAAUGCGUAGCUGAUGGGAAGCAGGUUAAUAUUCCUGCACCAUUGUUAAAUGCGAUGGGGGGACGGAUCGCGGAAGGUUGUCCGGGUGUUGGAAGUCCCGGUCCUUGCAUUGGAGAAGGCGCUUAGGCAAAUCCGGGCGCGUAAUUCAAGGGUGUGAGGCCAUUCACUCAGGUGAAGAAGCAACUGGAAGUGGUUCCAAGAAAAGCCUCUAAGCUUCAGUUUAACAAGACCGUACCGCAAACCGACACAGGUGGGCGAGAUGAGUAUUCUAAGGCGCUUGAGAGAACUCGGGAGAAGGAACUCGGCAAAUUGGUACCGUAACUUCGGGAUAAGGUACGCCCCUGUAGCUUGACUGGCCUGCGCCAGAAGGGUGAAGGGGUUGCAAUAAACUGGUGGCUGCGACUGUUUAAUAAAAACACAGCACUCUGCAAACACGAAAGUGGACGUAUAGGGUGUGACGCCUGCCCGGUGCUGGAAGAUUAAAUGAUGGGGUGCAAGCUCUUGAUUGAAGUCCCAGUAAACGGCGGCCGUAACUAUAACGGUCCUAAGGUAGCGAAAUUCCUUGUC
Molecule: ribosomal RNA, 1456 nt
Filed under: seawater metagenome
Description: bacterial LSU rRNA
Rfam family: Bacterial large subunit ribosomal RNA
Source: RNAcentral